UACGAGAGGCCCAAACGUUAUUCGGAAUUACUGGGCUUAAAGAGUUCGUAGGCGGCGCGGAAAGUAGGGUGUGAAAGCCCUCGGCUCAACCGAGGAAUUGCGCUCUAAACUGCCGUGCUUGAGGAACCUAGAGGUGAGCAGAACUGAUGGUGGAGCGGUGAAAUGCGUAGAGAUGUGGAGGAAUACCGAUGGCGAAGGCAGCCCCCUGGGAUAACACUGACGCUCAGGCACGAAAGCGUGGGGAGCAAACAGG
This 253-nucleotide ribosomal RNA is filed under the name uncultured bacterium. RNAcentral's name for it is "partial 16S ribosomal RNA". It matches the Rfam family "Bacterial small subunit ribosomal RNA", at positions 524 to 776 of the family's 1533-position model. The record is from RNAcentral.